GCGAUAGGGGCCGUCCGACCGCGUGUCCGGUUCCGCCAGACKCAUUUGUCUCCCGCUCGAAGGACGCCGCAGCCGGUUGGGCAGUGAAAGCGUGACGGCCUGAGAGGCGGACGAUGGCAGGUGGCCGGUGGCGCGCCUCGUGCGUGUCGCCGGUUGUUAGCCGGUCCGUCGGUGGCCCGUCGCUCGACCGAGGUAUCACGAGGCCCCUCGGGGCUCUCGCGCCUCCUCCACCAUGGAAGCGGGACAGAACGUCGCAAGCGAAGGUCGCCGUCCCGCCGCACUCUUACGGAGUGGGCGGGCGAACGCCCUGCGCCGUUGGCGACGGCGGACCCGUCGGAGGCCGGAGGCUGGCGGCGAGUAGGUCGGUCACCCACCCGACCCGUCUUGAAACACGGACCAAGGAGUCUAACAUGUGCGCGAGUCAAUGGGUCUUGAACAGGCCCAGGGGCGCAAUGAAAGCAAAGGUCGUCUUCACGUCGACCGAGUUGGGAUCCCCCGGGCUUGCACCGGGGGCGCACCAACGACCCGUCCUAUCCGGCUCGCCGGUUGGGCGGAGUGUGAGCGUACACGUUGGGACCCGAAAGAUGGUGAACUAUGCCCGGACAGGACGAGGCCAGAG
Molecule: ribosomal RNA, 619 nt
Filed under: Griswoldia disparilis
Lineage: Eukaryota; Metazoa; Arthropoda; Arachnida; Araneae; Zoropsidae
Description: eukaryotic LSU rRNA
Rfam family: Eukaryotic large subunit ribosomal RNA (bases 396-619)
Source: RNAcentral